CCCUUAGAUGUCCUGGGCUGCACGCGCGCUACACUGGAAGUUACGGAUUGAGGUACUACCUUGUCCGAAAUGGUCCGGGUAAUCACCUAAAAGCUUGUCAUAAUUGGAAUGGAUUAUUGUAACUAGUAAUCCUGAACGAGGAAUUCCUAGUAAGUCCCAGUCAACAGCUGGUACUGAUUACGUCCCUGCCCUUUGUACACACCGCCCGUCGCUACUACUGAUUGGACGUUUAAGCAAGAUUUUUAAACACUGACAGUGUGUAGUUCACGCUAUACUACAGUGAGAAGAAGAAGAUCGAGCUUACUUGUCUAGAGGAAGUAAAAGUCGUAACA
Molecule: ribosomal RNA, 332 nt
Filed under: uncultured eukaryote
Lineage: Eukaryota
Description: partial 18S ribosomal RNA
Rfam family: Eukaryotic small subunit ribosomal RNA
Source: RNAcentral